GGCUUUUUGGGGAUCAUGCUACCAUGGCGAUGCCUUGCUAGAUAGUGGGCCGUGAUGGAUGGAGAAACUGAUGUCGGGAAUCCUCUGGAAACCUUCGCAAUCACCGGAAAUGAUGAGGAAUGAUGAGGAAUGAUGAGGAAUGAUGACAGCCGUAUGGAAGCAUUCCAGGCACCAGGAGGAGCCUGCCUGUCUGGGCAGCACAUCCAGCCACCCUCGCUCCCUCUCUUGGCCACGUGUUCCAACUUCCAUCCGUGACGUGUGCUGACCUGUCCCCCCUCCAUUCAGCCUGUUGGGGCGGAGAGAAAACCAAGAAUAUAGCUUGUGCAAACCUCAGAAUAGGAAAUCUACAAGGAUCUUAUGCGUGGAGUGGAUGUCCAAGAUCCCCAAUGGGGUAACUUCAACAGAUGAUGUACGACGUGAUGAUACAAACGGGGGGUUCCAUAUCCGUCACCCAGACUGUAUCUACUGUAGAAUCACACUUCAAUAUAGACAGUAGAUACAGUUUAAUGACAAACGUAUUCAGACAUGUAGAAUAUUGUUUUUGUGUGUUAGAUGUCUCACUUUACUUUUGUAGGUUUUCUUCCACAGACGUCUACGUGGCUUGCUGAACUUUGUCAACACAAAAACACUACACAUACACACAAUGUGAUUGAUGUCAGCUACUCCUGCAUCACCCUCCUGGACUGUGUCAAUGUAGAUCACACUGCCAUAAGUGAUUGGUCUGUGAGUAUGGCUAUUUUACACUGCAGUUUAGGUUUAUGUACAGUUACCUUGUAAACUACAAUACCCACACACACAUUCAUACACUCACACACACAUUCAGGCACUCACACAUACACACACACAUACACACACGCACACAAGUCCAGGCUCAUUAUCUUUCAGGUAACAUGUGUAUGAUUUGUGUGAUGUCUGUAACUCAACAUUAAUAUAUUCUCUGAACUGCCUAAGUCUUCUAUUGUCAUGAACCUUCAGGUAACAUUUGAUAUAGAUGUCUUGUCUAUACAUCCCAGUCACAUGGCAAGGAUGUCCCCUGAGACAUAUUACAUUACAGUACAUAAGUGACAGAGGCUGGGGGUUGUUCUUAAUUGCUCCUCCCAGAUGAAAUGCCUGUAAUCCAUGUUAGUGACCGAAGAGCGAGAGGUGAUCCAGGGAAAAUAAAUGAACCAUGUUUGAAACCCUGUUUCCUGAUCCAGCCUGUAUCUUACUCCCUAUGUAUCCAAGCCUGUAUCUUACUCCCUAUGUAUCCAAGCCUGUAUCUUACUCCCUAUGUAUCCAAGCCUGUAUCUUACUCCCUAUGUAUCCAAGCCUGUAUCUUACUCCCUAUGUAUCCAAGCCUGUAUCUUACUCCCUAUGUAUCCAAGCCUGUAUCUUACUCCCUAUGUAUCCAAGCCAGAACAAUGGGGCUUCAGGUUAUAUUGCUAUUGAUAUAGAAACUCCACCCUUCUUCGACAGGCGAGUCAGUCGUCUGCAAGAUAUGAACAUGGAGAACAUUUGUACCCCACACAAACAAGAUCCUUUCAUUCUUAUCCAUGUAAUAAUCUCAGUGUAAGCAGCCAAGGAGGGAAAGGCAUGCUAAAAGAGAGGAAGAAGAAGCUAAUGGUCCAUGGGGGAACAGAGACUGAAUCCUGGCAGAAACGACUGGCUGAACCCCCUGAAUGGCACCAUGAUGCCAGUUCAACUUCACCAGAUGAUGAAGCUCUUGACAGAUCCUCUUUAUUUAUUGAAUGAUAAUCUAACUACCUUCAUAACGGACCUCUUAGGUCGGAUUAGCCUCUGUCUCUAUACUGUAGGUCAGUGGUUCCCAACCUUUUCGGUUACUGUACCACCAACUGAAUUUUGAUCUUGCUAUUCUCAAGUACAGUACACCCUGUGGAUAGGCGUUCCUAGUACCCAUGUUUUUUAUUUUUUAUUUAAUUAAAUUUUUUAACCUUUA
Long non-coding RNA from Oncorhynchus gorbuscha (pink salmon), 1936 nucleotides. RefSeq lists it as uncharacterized. The record is from RefSeq and is a predicted model, not a curated record. Lineage: Eukaryota; Metazoa; Chordata; Actinopteri; Salmoniformes; Salmonidae. The transcript has 3 exons.